This 760-nucleotide ribosomal RNA is filed under the name uncultured bacterium. Its description in RNAcentral is "bacterial SSU rRNA". It matches the Rfam family "Bacterial small subunit ribosomal RNA", at positions 28 to 776 of the family's 1533-position model. The record is from RNAcentral.
AUUGAACGCUGGCGGCAUGCCUUACACAUGCAAGUCGAACGGCAGCGCGUUGGAGGUAACUCUGAUGGCGGCGAGUGGCGGACGGGUGAGUAAUACAUCGGAACGUGCCCAGUUGAGGGGGAUAACCUAGCGAAAGUUAGGCUAAUACCGCAUAAGCUUGGAGAAGGAAAGCAGGGGAUCUUCGGACCUUGCGCUACUGGAGCGGCCGAUGACCGAUUAGCUAGUUGGUGGGGUAAAGGCCUACCAAGGCGACGAUCGGUAGCUGGUCUGAGAGGAUGAUCAGCCACACUGGGAAUGAGAGACGGCCCAGACUCCUACGGGAGGCAGCAGUGGGGAAUUUUGGACAAUGGGCGAAAGCCUGAUCCAGCAAUGUCGCGUGGGUGAAGAAGGCCUUCGGGUUGUAAAGCCCUUUUAGCGGGGAAGAAAAGGCGGCGGCUAAUAUCCGCGCGCUGAUGACGGUACCCGCAGAAGAAGCACCGGCAAACUACGUGCCAGCAGCCGCGGUAACACGUAGGGUGCGAGCGUUAAUCGGAAUUACUGGGCGUAAAGGGUGCGCAGGCGGAUAGAUAAGUCAGAUGUGAAAGCCCUGGGCUUAACCUAGGAACUGCAUUUGAAACUAUUUAUCUAGAGUACGGCAGAGGGAGGUGGAAUUCCAUGUGUAGCAGUGAAAUGCGUAGAGAUGUGGAGGAACACCGAUGGCGAAGGCAGCCUCCUGGGCUAGUACUGACGCUCAUGCACGAAAGCGUGGGUAGCAAACAGG